AUGGCGACCCAAACCAAGACGUCUUUCCCGACGGAGCAACUUGUUGUUCUUGUCAGUGAACAUGUUGAGUUGUAUGACAUGACCAACAAAUUAUACCACAACAUUUAUCACAAGGAGAGUAUCUGGAGGACGAUCGGUGGGAUUUUGGGACAUAAGUGGGAGGAUUGCCGUGACAAAUGGAAAUACCUUAGAGGCAAGUACGGCAAAGAAAGAAAGGAAAUGAAGGAGAGGAGGAGUGGAUCGGAGGGAGGACAUAAACACAGUUGGAAAUAUGUAAAAAUUCUAUCUUUCCUGGAGCCUUAUGUCCAGGAAAGGCUCACAAUUAGUAACUUCGACCAGCCAAGCCAGACAGCAGAGAGCAUUUUGAAUGCAAUGUGUGAAAACAAUGAGACUACAUUGGAUGACACAAUCAGUAGUCAACCUGGGUCUGGUUCUUUAAAUGGCAGUUCAUCAAGGCCCCCACCCCAUUCAUCUAGGCCCCCACCCUCUCCAUCUCCACCCCCACAACCACCUCAACAAGAACAGCAGCAGGAAUUCGGGCCCAUGAGAGUACAAAGAGGGAGGAAGAGGCAGGCCACUGCGACCAUAACCCCCUACCAGCAACAGGUCCUCAGUGCCCUUGCGAAAGAGGAGAAUGAGCAUGAGCGUUUCCUAUUGAGCUUUGCACCCACACUGGCAAGGUUGGAGCCUCGCAAACAGGCAUUGCUAAAGUGUAGAAUGCAGUCCCUGUUUUAUGACAUCGAGUUUGGAGAAUAA
Molecule: long non-coding RNA, 756 nt
Filed under: Gadus morhua (Atlantic cod)
Lineage: Eukaryota; Metazoa; Chordata; Actinopteri; Gadiformes; Gadidae
Description: lncRNA (ENSGMOG00000028734.1)
Source: RNAcentral